Molecule: long non-coding RNA, 1168 nt
Organism: Zea mays
Lineage: Eukaryota; Viridiplantae; Streptophyta; Magnoliopsida; Poales; Poaceae
Exons: 3
Source: RefSeq, a predicted model, not a curated record
GCAUAUUGAUUGAUGACCUUGUCAAAGGUGGAAAGAUACAGGAAGCAAAGAUUAUAUUUAAUGAAAUGAAAGAAAAAGAAGUCAAAUCUGGUAUGGGAUGUAGCUGGAUAACAGAUUAAACUAUCUCUCUUUUCUAGAUGUAGUUGAAGUGGACCUAUUGUAUUUGUUUAUAGAUAAGAGGUGAGACCCCCAUAUUUGAAUGAACUGUUGUGGGCUGUAAAAAAGCAGGGGAAGACAGGCUCACAGGUGCCAUCCGUGGAUCUCAACCAAGUGCAGAUUUCGAAGACAUGAGCUGCGAGAUGAUAUACGGCCAGGUGCCGCCUCCAUUGGAAGAGGACCCAGCGUCGAAGCAAGCUUGCUACCUGAGCCUCUGUUCCAUGUCGACGCCGUCUGCCCCGGCCUGUCCCAAGCUUCAGUAGGUACAUAUAUGCAUGCACAGAGUUUUCCGGUCGGACUUGGUAUGGAAUAAGUAUCAUUUGUUUUUUUAUACAGAAAUGUAGCUUGUAAACUAUUAGUAAAGUUAAAUACAAGUUUUGUUCUGAACCAGGACAUAGCACUCUGUAACAAAUUCGUCGCAUUUUCGUUCCUUCCGCUGAUCAAAUGCCUUCGUUCCCAGUGGUUCUUGUAGAGCGGUUGUGUCGUCCGAGCGUUGAUCUGAACCAGCGCAGUUUAUCAGGGACGUAGCAGUGAGUUGGUGAGCUCUCUCGGCUCAUAGAAGCCCUACCUUUUCUGAUUUUCUUCGAGCAUGGGCUGAAAUGUCAACUAUUGGGCCAAAGGUUAUAGAGAACUCAUAGAUUUGAUGGCUAAACAUAAAAGCGACUUAGAAGGAUUCAAGUUAGAUGUAUACGGAAGUGGUGAGGACUCGCAAUAAGUUCAAUCCACUGUCAUGAGGUUAGAUUUGAGUCUCAAUUUUUUCAAGGGAAGGGAUCAUGCUGAUAAUUCACUCCAUGGGUACAAAGUUUUCAAAAAUCCGAGCAUUAGUGAUGUCCCGUGCACAACAACAGCAGAGGCUCUUGCAAUGGGGAAAUUCGUGACCUGCGCAGAACAUCCAUCAAAUGAGUUUUUACGCAGUUUAUCAGGGACGUAGCAGUGAGUUGGUGAGCUCUCUCGGCUCAUAGAAGUCCUACUUUUUUUUCUGAUUUUCUUCUAGCACAGGCUGAAAUGUCAA